UAUUAUGUUUGCUUGGGGAUUUCCCUUGUACCUCAUAAGGAUUUCAAUUAAACCAUAACCAUGACCACCAAGACCUUACCAUUUAAUCAUUUAAAACCAUCCAAACCAAUUAGGAUUCCAUUACCGAUUUAUACCAUGCAAUAGUUUCAUUAAAAGUCCAACUAUGUAAUAAAAGCAUUCUGAUAGGCAUUUUAGCAAACACAUUGGGG
Molecule: long non-coding RNA, 209 nt
Filed under: Capsicum annuum
Lineage: Eukaryota; Viridiplantae; Streptophyta; Magnoliopsida; Solanales; Solanaceae
Description: long non-coding RNA (CANN_LNC017463)
Source: RNAcentral